GCCAGUGUGAUGUAGUGGAUUGAAUAAUGGACUAGGAAUCCGGAGACCAGGGUUCGAAUCCUGGCUCAGCCA
Non-coding RNA from Phrynosoma platyrhinos (Desert horned lizard), 72 nucleotides. The record is from the annotation of a GenBank genome assembly. Lineage: Eukaryota; Metazoa; Chordata; Lepidosauria; Squamata; Phrynosomatidae.